CCUACGGGAGGCAGCAGUUUGGAAUUUUGGACAAUGGGCGAAAGCCUGAUCCAGCGACGCCGCGUGGACGAUGAAGGCCUUCGGGUCGUAAAGUCCUUUUAGCAGGGAAGAAUUUUUGACGGUACCUGCAGAAUAAGAGGUUGCUAACUCUGUGCCAGCAGCAGCGGUAAUACAGAGACCUCGAGCGUUAUCCGGAAUCAUUGGGCGUAAAGCGUACCGAUCGGUGGUUUUACAAGUCAGAGGUGAAAUUCCAAGGCUCAACCUUGGGACUGUCCUUUGAAACUGUAAGACUAGAGGGACAAAGAGGAAGCUAGAACUAACGGUGUAGGGGUAAUAUCCGUUGAUAUCGUUAGGAAUACCGAUAGCGAAGGCAGGCUUCUGGGUGUCACCUGACACUGCUAGGACGAAAGCGUGGGGAGCAAAAAGGAUUAGAUACCCUUGUAGUCCACGCUGUAAACGAUGCAUAUUAGGUGCUGGGGAGUAUCGACCCUCUUCAGUGCCAUAGCUACGUACGUUAAUAAUAGCCGCCGUCGGGUAGGUACGGCCGGCGAACGACGUAAACUAACAAUAGAAGUUAGACGGCGUGAGACGUAGCCGACGGACGACGACGAGGGAGGUAGG
This 621-nucleotide ribosomal RNA is filed under the name uncultured bacterium. RNAcentral describes it as "bacterial SSU rRNA". The stretch from base 1 to 529 matches the Rfam family "Bacterial small subunit ribosomal RNA", at positions 338 to 873 of the family's 1533-position model. The record is from RNAcentral.